RNAcentral lists this long non-coding RNA (839 nucleotides) under Lytechinus variegatus (green sea urchin). RNAcentral's name for it is "uncharacterized LOC121416824". The record is from RNAcentral. Lineage: Eukaryota; Metazoa; Echinodermata; Echinoidea; Temnopleuroida; Toxopneustidae.
GUUUUGAUCAAAAUGUAAAGUUUGUUUGAUGUUUUCGCCGCGACGAUUCGAAAUGAAACGAAGAAAUUAGCAGAAGUGAAGGUCACCGGAGAGGUGAAUGAGGAUUUUACCACUGGAACUAGAGAGCUUGGCUCUGACUGGUCUACUACAGCAAGGAAUGUGCCAGGGGCCAAUCUGAUGAACAUGUGGCAGAAGAUUUGGCAAUGGGUGAAGAAACACUGAGAUUGAAAUGCAACCACAGGUGGAGGCUUCACCCAAACUUUUCAGACGGAUGCGAGAUACAAAGUUACCCAAGUAUAAAUGGUUGAAGGUUUUGGAGAGCCAGACAAGAAGGCAGGAAAUGUGAUGUCACUUUUACUUCAAUAAACAUGAACAGCAGCAGGAGCAACAACAGCAUCAGCAGCCGAAACCUCAACUGCAAUAAGAGAUGCAGCAACCGCACCAACAACAUCAAGAGCAACAGCAAAAAUACCUACAUGUAUUACAGCAGAAAUGCAACAAUCACAUUGGCAACAUCAACAGCAGCAGGAGCUCCAACAACCAUGCAGGGAACAUCGCGCGCAACAUGAAUAACUUCAUCAAGAGAUGCAACAACCACAGUGGUAAACAUCAACAGCAGUAGCGACAACGACAGUAGAAACAAAGCCAAUGUCAAGGAUUAAGCAAUCAUACAGGAAACAACACAAGCGGCAACAUCAAUAAAUGCAUCAGGGGAUGCAACAGCCAUACUUGUAAACAGCAGCAGUAGCAGCGAUGACAAGAGCAACCACACAGGCAACACCUUGAGCAACAUCAGUAGCAAUGCACCAGCAAUGAAACAAUCACACCAACAACACCAA